UCCAGGGUAGCCUAGUGGACAUGGCACCUGCCAGGUAAGCAGAAGGUUGUGGGUUCGAUUCCCGCCCCUGGAC
RNAcentral lists this transfer RNA (73 nucleotides) under Cordylochernes scorpioides. Its description in RNAcentral is "tRNA-Thr". It matches the Rfam family "tRNA". From Rfam's summary of the family: Transfer RNA (tRNA) molecules are approximately 80 nucleotides in length. Their secondary structure includes four short double-helical elements and three loops (D, anti-codon, and T loops). Further hydrogen bonds mediate the characteristic L-shaped molecular structure. tRNAs have two regions of fundamental functional importance: the anti-codon, which is responsible for specific mRNA codon recognition, and the 3' end, to which the tRNAs corresponding amino acid is attached (by aminoacyl-tRNA synthetases). tRNAs cope with the degeneracy of the genetic code in two manners: having more than one tRNA (with a specific anti-codon) for a particular amino acid; and 'wobble' base-pairing, i.e. permitting non-standard base-pairing at the 3rd anti-codon position. The record is from RNAcentral. Lineage: Eukaryota; Metazoa; Arthropoda; Arachnida; Pseudoscorpiones; Chernetidae.